UAGAACUCGCACAGGUUUGAAACUAUUUUCUAUUUUUCCAACAUUGAGAGCAAUUUUCAAUAAUGGCACCCCAUCGAACAGGUAAGAUUUGAUUGGUUUGAUUAUUUUUGUUUGCAUUUUAAUUGAAGUAAGGUUUUUAAAUUGAUUUAAGUUUUUUUUUAAUUAAUUUGAUGUCAGAUUCUUCAAGCAAUCCCCAAAAACAAAAUAGACAACAAAGACCUCCUCUUGCACAAGCAACAAAAGAAAACCCUAUAAACACUGCACAAGAGAAACAAGAAAACCCUCAAAAUCCUCAAAAUGUUGCUCCUCAACAACCACUGCCACCCCGAAACCCUCCACGUCCUCCAUUAAAUCAUGUAGAUGCCACACAAGAGGAUAUCAUCAAUCGCCUUACACAAAAUAGUGCCCAAAUUUCUAUAUUGGUGAAUAGGUUGAGGUCCUCUAGACUUGAGCACCACUCAACCCUCGCCAGAACACUAGAAACAAUGGCUAAUAGUACAAAUGAGGUAUCUAGGGAGGUUACGAAAUGGGGUUCAUGGAGGGAUAGAUGUUGAACAUUUUAGGCGGAUGGGUUGUCAUAUGAUCAAGUGAAAAAAAAGGACAUAGGUAAAGCUGACAUAUGUGCUCUUUUCACCAAUCAUAUUACCAGUAAUAACCUAGAACUAAAUAUGACUCUGUUUCCUAUACAUUGGUGUGUUCAUGCUAGGGUGAAAUAAGAUUUUUGGGAUAGGUGGUAUAUGGUCUUUGACCAACCACCUUGUAAUAACUGGGAAGUGCCUCUAUAUUUUUUGAGAAAGUUGUAUUGUGAUUUUAUCCUCGGUGAGAAGCCGAAUUACUUUGACAUCCAGCAAUUUCAAGGUAGAGGGAGAGGCUCUGCACAAGAUAGACCUAGGGCCCAUAGGGUGGUAGAGCCACAACAUAGGAGGCGUACAACUCCUAAACCCAUGGUUCAUGUCACUGUCCCUAUAUCCUUGAAAGAGUCUAUGGAAUUACAGACUCUUCAGGAAGCUGCAUCAUUGACUGAUGUCAUUGUUCAACAUGGCACACAGUUGGUUGGAGCAGAGGAUGUACUAGCAGCUGUGCCACCUCCUUCAUUAGGGGCACCUCCUUCAUUAGUAGCUCCUCCUUCCUCAGCAGCACCUCCUUCAUCAGCAACACCUCAUGCAUCAUUUGGCACGAGCCAAGCCAUUCAACAUAUGUGCCCCACCCGCUAGGGUGUAUGUUCUAGUGUAGACAUUGACGCAGACGAGGAUGGUUCGACAUCUCAUUCAUGUACAUGUUGCGGGAGUAGAUGCCAUGCUUCCACUGCAGAGGAUGUGGCCCUCACCGAUGAACUGAUCAAUGUUGUACCCUCUCUAUCAGACAUAGGUGCAUUUAAUUAUGUUUAUGACAUGUUAUCAAUUAAGUGACUAAAUCUUAUAAAAAGAAAUGAAUAUUUAUUUUUAAAACAAUUUAAAGUGACAUAUAAAUAAAAUGCAUUGCAGGGUGCAGCAGGUGGUGGCAGUACACCACAUACUUUUCAGUCGACUCCACGAUCAUGAGUAGUUUCACCACCAGAGGUAAAGAUUUGUAAAUUUGUUAAAAAUAUAAUAAUACAUUGGUUUCAAAAUAUCUUUUGUUAAUUACAUGUAUCAUUAGUUGGUAUUUUAUAGGGCUUAUCAGUGGCUAAGAUGUCCCAACUUGAUGAUAUCAUGCUUUCGGCCAUUGACUUUGGCCAAGAUAGCUAUGCAGUACCAUUUAGAUUUAUAUAUUUUUUACUUAAGUGAUAUAUUAAAUACAUGCUCUUUUCCCCUAUGUUAAUUUUUUUCCGUUAGUUUAUCCCACUUGCCUCGAGGAUAUCUCGUGUGAGAAAGCCAUCCUCUAGCACUCUGAGGAAGAAAACAAUAUCCUCUCGGACACCCAAAUGACGGAAGGUAAUUCAGUACAAUUUAAAUUCAUUCGUUGAAAUGUAUUAUGAUUAAACAUGUAUAUGUAGAUAUUGAUAAAUGCACUUAAUUUAUUUGUUCUAUAUAUAGAAACAUAUGGGGUUUAUAGAAUUAAUGAAUGCACCUAAUGUCGAUGAGGUUCAGUAGAUAGAAGAGGUGAUAUCUUCAUAUUCACUUUGGAUUUCAUUCUUGCUUGUUCGAAAUAACUAAAUCAUUUUAUGUCUAUAUCAUAUGUUAUCAUUUUUCAUAGAGGAAAUAGUAAUAGUUGCAUCAGAUUCGACUAGGCCUCCUAAGGUUACAGGAGAACUAUAUGAGGUUUCGGUGUGCAUUUGUUCUACAUAUGUUAAAAAUAUUUGUUUUAUCUAGUUUGUCAACAACUUUGGGUUAUUAACUUGUAUGAUUGUCUUUAACCUAUUGCAAGCCCCUUCCAAACUUCCUACUGUUAUUCUACAAUUCCAUUUCAGUAGAAGUCCUACACGUAUAUUAUAGGAUCCAACACAACCAAGGGAAAAGGUAUGUCUAUCUUAGAUCAAAUCCUUUUCACUAAGUGCACAAUGGAGUUGAAACCGUCUAGUUAACUCAUUUUGGAUCACUUACCAUGUAUAUAGGAAAUGGUACUGAUUCAUCUGUGACUUUGCCUUCUACGACCACAACACAUCCAUCUAAGGCUUCGUUACAACCUCCUUCAGGACAUCCCAUGAAUCCUCAGUCUCACCCAAUUGUAGAAGACAGAGAUGAGCCACCUACAGAGCCACGUACUGCUUCGAAGAGGCUCAAUUUUGAUGAUCUACCACAGUCAUAGAUACUGAUAGAGACAUAUAGUUAUAGUUGUGGUCAUUGAAGGACCAACUUUUUUAUAUAUUCAACAUUUGUAUAUGUAUAUAUCAACUUUGAUAGACAUGGCACAUGCCACAUUUUUGUAACUAUUAUUGAUUUGGCAUCUAUAUU
Long non-coding RNA from Cryptomeria japonica (Japanese cedar), 2873 nucleotides. RefSeq lists it as uncharacterized. The transcript is spliced from 3 exons. Lineage: Eukaryota; Viridiplantae; Streptophyta; Pinopsida; Cupressales; Cupressaceae. The record is from RefSeq and is a predicted model, not a curated record.